Molecule: microRNA precursor, 81 nt
Filed under: Pan paniscus (pygmy chimpanzee)
Lineage: Eukaryota; Metazoa; Chordata; Mammalia; Primates; Hominidae
Description: miRNA (ENSPPAG00000005007.1)
Source: RNAcentral
AUUAGGUUGGUGCAAAAGUGAUUGUGGUUGUUGCCAUUACUUUCAGUGGUAAAAACUGCUAUUACUUUUACACCAACCUAA